Long non-coding RNA from Camelus dromedarius (Arabian camel), 336 nucleotides. RefSeq lists it as uncharacterized. Lineage: Eukaryota; Metazoa; Chordata; Mammalia; Artiodactyla; Camelidae. The record is from RefSeq and is a predicted model, not a curated record. The transcript is spliced from 2 exons.
CGUUGCCGGGCAACCACUGCCCGCCCCCGCGCGGGGAUUGGCUGUGAGGCCCACUCCCGGCAUGCCCCACGGCUCCCGGAAGACGCGCUCCGGCCUCUGUUUCAAGCCAGCUGGAUUUUCAAAGAUACAUAUCUGGCUUUGGAAUGUUGGUUUGCUGCCUCCCUGCCUCCACUUUUGUGAUAAUGAUGCUGCUAAAGCUGUUCCAUGCCUAUUGGCCAAAUACCCUAAGCUUGUACUUUACCCUAUAAAACCUCAUGCGCACGUCUUGGAGGUGCUCAGAGCUUCGGAGCAGAAGCCUCUCUGAGCCCGCCGGCAUAAUACAUCUGAGUACUCCAA